UCAGAAAUCUGUGGUGACUCAAACUUGAU
Molecule: non-coding RNA, 29 nt
Filed under: Rattus norvegicus (Norway rat)
Lineage: Eukaryota; Metazoa; Chordata; Mammalia; Rodentia; Muridae
Source: RNAcentral